Molecule: transfer RNA, 73 nt
Filed under: Cricetulus griseus (Chinese hamster)
Lineage: Eukaryota; Metazoa; Chordata; Mammalia; Rodentia; Cricetidae
Rfam family: tRNA
About the family: Transfer RNA (tRNA) molecules are approximately 80 nucleotides in length. Their secondary structure includes four short double-helical elements and three loops (D, anti-codon, and T loops).
Source: Rfam by way of RNAcentral
GUGGGUUUAGCCUAGUCAGGAAAGUGCUUGCUUUGCAAGCAUGAGGAUCUGAAUUCAAUUCCCAGAACCUGCU